Salvia hispanica is the source of this 659-nucleotide long non-coding RNA. RefSeq lists it as uncharacterized. NCBI's taxonomy places the organism in Eukaryota, Viridiplantae, Streptophyta, Magnoliopsida, Lamiales, Lamiaceae. The record is from RefSeq and is a predicted model, not a curated record.
GUCUUUACGAGUCUAUUUCUUAAUAAUUUAGUUGAGUGUUAAUUUAUUAUUUCUAACACCUUUUCCCCCUAUAUAAACUGCCCACCUAGGAUGCAACAUAUAUAGCAAACCUAAAGAAACUUGAGGUGAUUAUUUACAAAAAUGAUGAUGAAGAAAAUUUGUGCUAUUUUGUUUGUGGCUUCUCUUUUGAUUGUUGGAUUGACUAACGAAGUCAAUGCAAAAGUCAUAAGCAAGAACCGUAAAUUAAUGAGCGACGUAGCAGAUCGAUAUACACCCGGAGGACCAACUCCUUGUUACCAUUGCAUGGCCGAUGGGAAACCCCAUCAAGCUCUACAAAACUCGGACUCUGAAGUGAAAGUGAAUAUCAAUAACGAUGGAUCAGGACGUUGAAGUCGAAUUUUUAUUAUGUAAUAUGGUAUAUUUCACUAUGAGUGUGUGUUUAAGUACUUUAUACAUAAUGUAUGUAAAAAAGUUGAGUGCAAGUAUGUGUGCAUGGCUUGAGAGUUGUUGGUUGUGAGGUAAAUGAAAAACUUAUGUGAAUUGGUAGGUGAUGAGUUUACAAAUUCAAAAGGUUUGUAGUGUUGUUUAAUUUGGUUUGAACGGUUUUUUAUUGGAUGUUAAUCUAUAAAAGGAGAUAUGAAAUACAUGCUUUGUGUUUA